GAUGAACGCUGGCGGCGUGCCUAAUACAUGCAAGUCGAGCGAACGGACUAGAAGCUUGCUUCUCUGAUGUUAGCGGCGGACGUGUGAGUAACACGUGGAUAACCUACCUAUAAGACUGGGAUAACUUCGGGAAACCGGCGCUAAUACCGGAUAAUAUUUUGCACCGCAUGGUUCAACAGUGAAAGACGGUCUUGCUGUCACUUCUAGAUGGAUCCGCGCUGCAUUAGCUAGUUGGUAAGGUAACGGCUUACCAAGGCAACGAUGCAUAGCCGAGCUGAGAGGGUGAUCGGCCACACUGGAACUGAGACACGGUCCAGACUCCUAAGGGAGGCAGCAGUAGGGAAUCUUCCGCAAUGGGCGAAAGCCUGACGGAGCAAGGCCGCGUGAGUGAUGAAGGUCUUCGGAUCGUAAAACUCGGUUAUUAGGGAAGAACAUAUGUGUAAGUAACUGUGCACAUCGUGACGGUACUUAAUCAGAAAGCCACGGCUAACUACGUG
Molecule: ribosomal RNA, 497 nt
Filed under: uncultured bacterium
Lineage: Bacteria
Description: partial 16S ribosomal RNA
Rfam family: Bacterial small subunit ribosomal RNA
Source: RNAcentral